RNAcentral lists this long non-coding RNA (2445 nucleotides) under Pan troglodytes (chimpanzee). Its description in RNAcentral is "long non-coding RNA NONPTRT015221". The record is from RNAcentral. Lineage: Eukaryota; Metazoa; Chordata; Mammalia; Primates; Hominidae.
CGUAUAAUAGAAAGGUCUCUCCACAAAACCCGGGGAAGAUAGAUUAAAGGUGCGUAGGAGGAUCUAGAGACAAAGAGAACAUUCAGGGUUACUGAAUGUACAGAAAAGGAUGAUGGUUCUUGAACAAACCAUGAAACAUUUACCAGUCCACACUGCAUGUGAUCCAAUCUUGGCCAUGGACCCUGGGCACAGUCUGCAUGGUUUCUCCUGGAGGGGGGCGGGUGUCCCCUUUGAUAAGAGAUACAAGAAGAGAUCCCACUACCAGUCUUUCUGCCUUUGGACUACAUUGAAUGAGGAAGUGAUGCCUUGGGAUGAAAGCUAACAUGUCUCUCUCUAGCUGUGCAUUUCUGAAGAGCCAGCAUAUCCAUCAUGUCUACCUGAAGAAUUGGUUUUAAAUCCUGAUGACACAUGGCUCAGAACAAGGACCAGUUUCAUUCAGGCAUCCAGAGCUGCUUCUCUGACCCUCUGGUUCUUGGCCCAGCUGAUAAGGAUCCAGUCCAUGAAUAAGUAAAUGGCUUCCUUCCAGUGGAGAGCUGACAGCUGGGAUUGAAACAAGAUCCAGAAUUCACCCUGCUGUUUCUCCAUGAGUCUGACCUGCAUCAACUGCCUCCCUUAUUCUGGGAUUCCAGUUGUGGAGCUCAAGGACAAGUCCAUUCUGGGCUGGCUGUAUCCAACUUCUUUAGUCCAACUAUAUCCCCACUGGAAGCCAGGCUCUUUCCAACAGCUGUCACCCAUGCCUCUUUCUAUGUUUGUUAUCUGUCUCUAGGUUCUGGUAACUACUUCCUUCCCUUGCCCCUUCUGGCCUAGGGUGCUACAAAUCCCUCCUCCAAAUCCAACUGUCACUAGCCUCAAAGUACUUGUAGCUUCCUCACCUUACUUUCACCUUAAUAAAUAGUCCCCCUACUAUCUCUCUUCAAAGCACCCAAUUUGAGUGUGCCAUCUGUUUCUUGCCAGGAUCCUGGUUGGUACAUCAACCAAGCUGCACAGAUGGAGGAGCACUGUGCUGAACUUUAGGAAUGAAGCCACAGGGCCCUCACUGCCCCCAUAGUCACGUUGGUCAUCUUCUGCCUCCCUGAAAGACUAAAUUCACUCAGUUCAGAUACAUACACAUCCAGACAUGUCAGGGAAAACUCCAUUUUGUAAGGAUCUCUGCUUAAAAUGCCAAAGGUUUGAAAGUUGGCAAACACUUGAGAAAAGCACAGUUCUCUGUCUUACUCUUACUCUAAACUUGGAGAUAUAUGCAUUUUUAAAAUUGUUCAUGUUAGAAUGCUAACGUGUACAAGAUCGUGCCUGGUGAGACACCACAAACAAUAUUUUAUGAGGCCAAAAUAAGAAAGAAGGAAAUGAAAUAGCUCAGGAAUCUCAGGAAGAGCUCAUCAAACACUUUGCCUUUAUCUCAGACCAUUUUAUCCACAGCCCUGCUAAUCAGGAUUGUAUAUACCUCCAUGAGGGAGUCUUAAACGGAGGGAAAGAGAUGCCACAACUAAAGAAAAGAAUGCAAUAGAAGUUUGUCUUGAUGCCUGUUCUGUGAUGCACAACUUUCGUAAGCCAAAAUUUUAACCUUAUGAACAAUCAGUUCUGUGCUGCCCUUAGCAGAGAACCAUAAAUUAAAGAUAAGCAAUGGUUCAGACUUUCCAGGGCCUUGACUCAGGAGUAACUCUGAAAUCCCAACCAAAUAUGUAUUUGGUUAAGCAAUUUGGCACAUUUUUCUAUUUUGAGGCAUUAAACUAUAAUUACAAGUCACUUUUAUUUCAUUCCAAAUAAAUCUCCCUAAAGUAGAUAGAACUAGAGGUUUCCUUUUUUAAAAAAAAGGAAACAGGAAAACAACAAACAAAACCAAAAAGAACAAAAGCAAAACAAAACUUAGUCAAGCUAACAAAUUGCAUGUAUGAUGUGUUUUAUAAUUUGAUCAAUAUGAAAAAUAGAGUGUGCUAGUGCCUCAGGAGGACUCAGAGGACUCAAAUACUCAAUAGGUUAUCUGGAGGAAUUUCUCAUUGGAGAAAAAAAUUAAAGUUCUUUUGAACAACCCACAUAAUCAAGAUAGUAAUAAUUUAACCUCAAGUUUUUCCUUGAUUAAAAAAUCCCUUUGCUAUUCUGCUCCAGUGUUUGUAAUAGAUGGUUCAACAAGACUGGUGUUUUGUUAGUUGGAAAAGUAAGCUGAUAUGAGGGGUGGGGAGAGGAAGGGCAGAAAUUUAUUAACAAUCAGCAAGUAAAGAAAAACAGCCUGCAAAUUGUAAUGAAAGGAAGAAAGGACAGGAAAGGAAAGGUAGGGCUGGUGGAGAGUGACUGUUCUGCCUGCUUACUGCACAGGCCAAGAACAAACUCACGAUAAAUACUCCAGGUCCUCAAGAAAAAGGUUUCUGUGCUGAAUUAUGGUAGUCUACCUGAAAUUGGGAUGAUGAAUUAGAAAACCUCUCUCAUCGCUUCAAGUCUUGUGAUUUAUUC